AUUGAACGCUGGCGGAAUGCUUUACACAUGCAAGUCGAACGGCAGCACGGACUUCGGUCUGGUGGCGAGUGGCGAACGGGUGAGUAAAUGUAUCGGAACGUGCCCAGUCGUGGGGGAUAACGUAGUGAAAAUUACGCUAAUACCGCAUACGAUCUAUGGAUGAAAGCGGGGGAUCGCAAGACCUCGCGCGAUUGGAGCGGCCGAUAUCAGAUUAGGUAGUUGGUGGGGUAAAGGCCCACCAAGCCAACGAUCUGUAGCUGGUCUGAGAGGACGACCAGCCACACUGGAACUGAGACACGGUCCAGACUCCUACGGGAGGCAGCAGUGGGGAAUUUUGGACAAUGGGCGAAAGCCUGAUCCAGCCAUUCCGCGUGCAGGAUGAAGGCCCUCGGGUUGUAAACUGCUUUUGUACAGAACGAAAAGGUUUCUACUAAUACUAGGAGCUCAUGACGGUACUGUAAGAUUAAGCACCGGCUAACUACGUGCCAGCAGCCGCCGUAA
RNAcentral lists this ribosomal RNA (501 nucleotides) under uncultured bacterium. RNAcentral's name for it is "partial 16S ribosomal RNA". It matches the Rfam family "Bacterial small subunit ribosomal RNA", at positions 30 to 523 of the family's 1533-position model. The record is from RNAcentral.